AAGUUAUAAACCGCUGUUGUUAUGGAUAUUAAACCGCUGGAAGCGACGCGCUAAUGCUAGCGGACUGGCGAUGUUGAUGACAUCAUUGAACGGAAGUUUUUUUUUUUUAAUGACAAAAGUUGAAAUUUACAACAUAUAUAACAGUUGUACAAAAGGUUUGACAGUUUCAAUUUGAACAGUGUACAGAAGAGAUAGAAAAAACAAACAACAACAAAAAAAUAAGCAAAAAAUACAAGAAUAUAUAAGUAAUAAAAUAAAAAACAAAGACAUUAUGAAAAAUAAAUUAGGGGUUAACAAAAAGCUGCAAAUCACAUAUAAUAUCUUGGAGUUUCACAGCAUAUUUUUUUCCAUUAGGUUUACAGAUGAAAAGAAUAAGCAGAGUUUUUUAUGAAAUGUAAAACAAGAUGGUUUGGUCUUCUUAAAUAUGCAUUUGUGUAUAUAAAAGUUUCCCAGGAUAAUUAUAACAUCUAAGAUAAAUUCUGUAGUUUUGUUUUCUAAAAUGAACCCAAAAAUGAUAUUCUUAAUAGAAAAAUCUGUUAAGUAUGGAAUUUUAGUAAAAAGUCAAUCAUGUACAUCGUCCCAAAAAGCAUUAGAAUAAGAACAGUCGAAGAAUAAGUGCUCAGUAGUUUCAAUUUCUUCAUUACAAAGUCAUUGAACGGAAAUCACGUCCGAAAUAUUAGACACCAUGGCACAGUUAUGCCGUGUCAGUACCCGAUCCCCUUUCCCUAACCACGCCCUAAACGCGUGCAUGUAUAUUACAUCACUUCCUCUUUGCCGCCAACAUUUGCGACGGUGGAGAGUUUUGGAUUUGAUUUGCGUCACCUGGAUUUGAUUUCCGAUAGUUGGGUGAUCGGGUAGCCGAAACAGAGAUCCGACAACAGUAUAUUUAACAGCUGAUUGCCACAGUCGCUACUAUUCCAUAAACCAUAUUCCAAAAACAUCCAUUCAUCUGUCAGUAACAGAUCACCUCCUUCAACAGAGUCACCACGUUCAAAGGAUGACAUGCAGUUACGAACUGAGAUAUAGAAUAUGUCCUGGACAAAAAACGUCCUCCAGGAGAGCUCAUAGUGAAGGAGGAUGAAAUCUGCUCAACCUGUGAAGACUUUUGGAUCCUGAAUAUGACACAAUGGAUGGGAUCCUCUGAGAAAAAUGUCUACAUUAAUGACCACUACUGCUUUUAUGACCACCUGGAAGGAUCUCCAAGUUGACCUACUGCGCUCCUUGCUGGAAUCCUUCAGGUCAGAGGUCAUGCUGAUGUUUCCACUUAGAGCAGACAGACAGGUCCAGCUGAUCUCUACCUGCUUUGUUACCAGGAGAAUCGUUGACCCUGUCUGGAGAACUGGAGGAGACCUUCAGUUCUUUUCUCAACAGAUGUCAGACAGCUGCUGCAGCAUUUCAUGCUGAUGUCUCCCCGGUGCUUACAGCUUUGGAGGGGCUCUGGUGUUCCAGCAGGAGUCAGUGCUCCCCUCAUCAUCUCAGCUGCCAGAUCGUUGUCUACCUUUGGG
This is a long non-coding RNA of Oryzias melastigma (Indian medaka), 1505 nucleotides long. RefSeq lists it as uncharacterized. Lineage: Eukaryota; Metazoa; Chordata; Actinopteri; Beloniformes; Adrianichthyidae. The transcript has 7 exons. The record is from RefSeq and is a predicted model, not a curated record.